GCAGGUGGCAAGCGUUGUCCGGAAUUAUUGGGCGUAAAGCGCGCGCAGGUGGUUCUUUAAGUCUGAUGUGAAACGCCCCCGGCUCGAACCGGGGGAGGGUCAUUGGAAACGUGGGGAACUUGAGUGCAGGAGAGGAAAGUGGAAUUCCACGUGUAGCGGUAGAAAUGCGUAGAUAUGUGGAGGAACACCAGUGGCGAAGGCGACUUUCUGGCCUGUAACUGACACUGAGGCGCGAAAGCGUGGGGAGCAAACAGGGAUUAGAUACCCUGGUAGUCCACGCCGUAAACGAUGAGUGCUAAGUGUUGGGGGGGUUUCCCGCCCCCUCAGUGCUGCAGCUAACGCAUUAAGCACUCCGCCUGGGGAGUACGGUCGCAAGACUG
RNAcentral lists this ribosomal RNA (380 nucleotides) under uncultured organism. RNAcentral describes it as "partial 16S ribosomal RNA". It matches the Rfam family "Bacterial small subunit ribosomal RNA", at positions 527 to 896 of the family's 1533-position model. The record is from RNAcentral.